UCUAAGCCAAGAGCAAGUUCCAUUCUUGCGGACCUCAGUAAGGCGAGCUCCAAGUUUGGUAGCAAGAACAUGGCUAAGGGGCAUCAACUCCGGUGUCUCGUCAGUGGCAUAGCCAAACAUGUGACCCUGGUCACCAGCACCAAUCUCCUCAGGUCGCUUAGUCAAAUGACCAUGAACACCUUGAGCAAUAUCAGGGCUCUGCUGCUCAAUGUUCACAAGGACUCUGCAAUUGUCAGCAUCCAAACCAACAUCAGGGGACACAAAUCCAAUUUCCCGGCAAGUGUCACGUACAAUCUUCUCA
Molecule: long non-coding RNA, 301 nt
Filed under: Solanum melongena (eggplant)
Lineage: Eukaryota; Viridiplantae; Streptophyta; Magnoliopsida; Solanales; Solanaceae
Description: long non-coding RNA (SMEL_LNC000243)
Source: RNAcentral